UCAUUUAUACUACUCCUCGUGCCUUCUACUCUUCUAUUGUAAGCGAUGUGGGACUUUGAAAAGAGUAAAUAUGUACAAAAAUAAAACAAUCUCUGGAUUUGAAUAGCUUAAGCGACAAUAGUCGUAAACCCUGAAGCCAAACAACUCUUUGGUUCAGCCGAGUCUGAGAAGAAGCAGCCAAGUUUCUCAGAUUUUCCAUUCUCGUGCUCUGUAUCCUUAAUCUCAUUCGAAAGUUUGAAUCUUUUUUGCGUAUUUGAAGCAGAUUUUACCUGGAAUCGGCGACGGAAGAAGAGGAGGAUUGUUCAGUCGUUGUCUUGAUCGGUUUGGUUUUGGUUAGUACAGCCAGCUUGAUUCGAUCGUUAUGUUCUUAUUUAACUGGGAAAGUUGAGAGCUAAAGCCUUGGUUGUAAGACUGAUUAGUCUGCGUGAUCUUGUUUGCUCCGUGUGAAAGGCACUUACUUUAUCCACAGAGAUUGUUUUGGAUGUUACGCAAAAACCCAACCAAUUAGCAAUCAGCGUCUAAUCUUAAUAAUGUCUACUGAAGAAGUAUUCAGAGAAAGCAGAGCACAAGAAUGAUGCCGGAGAACAUUUGUGACAACUAGACAAAAAGUAUUGAUGCAAACACGAGGAUGCAGGUGAGCCAGCAGGUGAGAGAGCAACUUCUCCUGGAGAUCACCAUGAAUGCGAUAUGUGAUCCUGAGUGUAAAGGAUUAUGCUUGAAGUGCGGUGCUAAUCUGAAUAAGAACAAGUGUGAUUGUGGCAGUGAAGAGAAGGAUAAAGGAUAUGGACCUCUUCGAAACCUGAGAAAGCAAAUGCAACAGAAAAGAGAGACUGAGAAACUUAACUGUGUCAAAAUUGACUUCUAAAUAGUGUUAUGUCGUGAGCUUAUAACAAUACUCUGCGUGCCUUUCACUUCAAAUCAAUUUUAUAUUGCAUCGUAAUUCAUCAUUGUUGCGCUCUCUUUAUGCUCUGUGUUGUUACUUGUGGUUGGUUAGUACAUGCUUAUUAGAUGAUGGUUUAUGUUUAUUUUUCUUAACAAUGCCCUCUUUUUGUUAUGGAGUGAUGAACAUGUCCUUGA
This is a long non-coding RNA of Raphanus sativus (radish), 1077 nucleotides long. RefSeq lists it as uncharacterized. The record is from RefSeq and is a predicted model, not a curated record. The transcript has 2 exons. Lineage: Eukaryota; Viridiplantae; Streptophyta; Magnoliopsida; Brassicales; Brassicaceae.